This 1937-nucleotide ribosomal RNA is filed under the name Pseudomonas aeruginosa. RNAcentral describes it as "partial 23S ribosomal RNA". It matches the Rfam family "Bacterial large subunit ribosomal RNA", at positions 1 to 1992 of the family's 2925-position model. Lineage: Bacteria; Pseudomonadati; Pseudomonadota; Gammaproteobacteria; Pseudomonadales; Pseudomonadaceae. The record is from RNAcentral.
GGUCAAGCGAAUAAGCGCACACGGUGGAUGCCUUGGCGGUCAGAGGCGAUGAAGGACGUGGCAGCCUGCGAAAAGUAUCGGGGAGCUGGCAACAAGCUUUGAUCCGGUAAUGUCCGAAUGGGGAAACCCACCCGCUUGCGGGUAUCCUGCAGUGAAUACAUAGCUGCUGGAAGCGAACCUGGUGAACUGAAAUAUCUAAGUAACCAGAGGAAAAGAAAUCAACCGAGAUUCCGUAAGUAGCGACGAGCGAACGCGGACUAGCCCUUAAGCUGGAUUGGUUCUAGGAAAACGCUCUGGAAAGAGCGGCCAUAGAAGGUGAUAGCCCUGUAUCUGAAAGGGCCAUUCCAGUGAAGACGAGUAGGGCGGGGCACGUGAAACCCUGUCUGAACAUGGGGGGACCAUCCUCCAAGGCUAAAUACUACUGACCGACCGAUAGUGAACCAGUACCGUGAGGGAAAGGCGAAAAGAACCCCGGAGAGGGGAGUGAAAUAGAACCUGAAACCGUGUGCGUACAAGCAGUAGGAGCUCCGCAAGGAGUGACUGCGUACCUUUUGUAUAAUGGGUCAGCGACUUACUGUUCGUGGCAAGCUUAACCGUAUAGGGGAGGCGAAGGGAAACCGAGUCUGAUAAGGGCGCAUAGUCGCGGGCAGUAGACCCGAAACCGGGUGAUCUAGUCAUGCCCAGGGUGAAGGUGCGGUAACACGCACUGGAGGCCCGAACCCACUCCCGUUGCAAAGGUAGGGGAUGAGGUGUGAUUAGGAGUGAAAAGCUAAUCGAACCCGGAGAUAGCUGGUUCUCCUCGAAAGCUAUUUAGGUAGCGCCUCAUAUGUAUCCUCUCGGGGGUAGAGCACUGUUAUGGCUAGGGGGUCAUCGCGACUUACCAAACCAUUGCAAACUCCGAAUACCGAGACGGACUGUAUGGGAGACACACGGCGGGUGCUAACGUCCGUCGUGAAAAGGGAAACAACCCAGACCCACAGCUAAGGUCCCAAAUUUUGUGCUAAGUGGAAAACCAUGUGGAAAGGCACAGACAGCCAGGAGGUUGGCUUAGAAGCAGCCACCCUUUAAAGAAAGCGUAAUAGCUCACUGGUCGAGUCGGUCUGCGGGGAAGAUUUAACGGGGCUAAGCACAGAACCGAAGCUUGGGGUGCAUAACUUUGUUAUGCGCGGUAGAGGAGCGUUCCGUAAGCCGUUGAAGGUGGAUUGAGAAGUCUGCUGGAGGUAUCGGAAGUGCGAAUGCUGACAUGAGUAACGAUAAUGCGGGUGAAAAACCCGCACGCCGAAAGCCCAAGGUUUCCUUGCGCAACGUUAAUCGGCGCAGGGUGAGUCGGCCCCUAAGGCGAGGACGAAAGUCGUAGUCGAUGGGAAGCAGGUUAAUAUUCCUGCACCUCGCGUAAGUGCGAUGGAGGGACGGAGAAGGUUAGGUGUACCAGGCGUUGGUUGUCCUGGGGAAAGGCGGUAGGUUUGGAUCUUUGGCAAAUCCGGGAUCCUUUAAGACCGAGCACCGAGACGAGCCUUUAUGGCGAAGUCACUGAUACCACGCUUCCAGGAAAAGCUCCUAAGCUUCAGCUUACGCAGACCGUACCGUAAACCGACACAGGUGGGUAGGAUGAGAAUUCUCAGGCGCUUGAGAGAACUCGGGUGAAGGAACUAGGCAACAUGGCACCGUAACUUCGGGAGAAGGUGCACCCUUUUUGGUGGCUCGUGCGAGCUAUAGCUGAAGAGGGUCGCAGUAACCAGGCCGCUGCGACUGUUUAUCAAAAACACAGCACUCUGCAAACACGAAAGUGGACGUAUAGGGUGUGACGCCUGCCCGGUGCUGGAAGGUUAAUUGAUGGGGUCAGCCGCAAGGCGAAGCUCUUGAUCGAAGCCCCGGUAAACGGCGGCCGUAACUAUAACGGUCCUAAGGUCUGUCUCUUAUACACAUCUCCGAGCCCA